RNAcentral lists this ribosomal RNA (253 nucleotides) under uncultured bacterium. Its description in RNAcentral is "partial 16S ribosomal RNA". It matches the Rfam family "Bacterial small subunit ribosomal RNA", at positions 524 to 776 of the family's 1533-position model. The record is from RNAcentral.
UACGGGGGGAGCAAACGUUGUUCAGAAUCACUGGGCGUAAAGGGCGCGUAGGCGGCCAGAUAAGUGGGGUGUUAAAUCUCCCGGCUCAACCGGGAACCUGCACCUCAUACUGCUUGGCUUGAGUACAGCAGAGGAGACUGGAAUUCCCGGUGUAGCGGUGAAAUGCGUAGAUAUCGGGAGGAACGCCCGUGGCGAAAGCGAGUUCCUGGACGUCGGCUGACGCUGAGACGCGAAAGCCAGGGGAGCGAACGGG